AACAACCGCUAGGGGAGCCAUGUGGCUGAGAUUUCGCAACGGCGAAAGACCCUCUGAACCUGAUCUCGUUAGCACGAGCGAAGGAAAGCGGCGUGGUUUGAUC
RNAcentral lists this non-coding RNA (103 nucleotides) under Herpetosiphon aurantiacus. Its description in RNAcentral is "TPP sequence". It matches the Rfam family "TPP riboswitch aptamer (THI element)". From Rfam's summary of the family: Vitamin B(1) in its active form thiamin pyrophosphate (TPP) is an essential coenzyme that is synthesised by coupling of pyrimidine and thiazole moieties in bacteria. Lineage: Bacteria; Bacillati; Chloroflexota; Chloroflexia; Herpetosiphonales; Herpetosiphonaceae. The record is from RNAcentral.